RNAcentral lists this long non-coding RNA (697 nucleotides) under Capsicum annuum. RNAcentral describes it as "long non-coding RNA (CANN_LNC004196)". Lineage: Eukaryota; Viridiplantae; Streptophyta; Magnoliopsida; Solanales; Solanaceae. The record is from RNAcentral.
UCCCUUGUUACAUUUUACCUUUUGUUACUUUCCUUGUUAUAUUUUACCUUUUGUUACUUUCUUAGAUAGUUUUAUAUCAAACAGAAAAGUAAAAUACUUGGACUAUUGUAGAUUCGUCAACGACAAGGUUACUAACAUUUUCUUCAAGAAUUUCAAAGAAAUCUGCAACAUCUAAAUCCAUAGUCUUAACAUUAUCUUCGAAGAUAAAGUUUGUUUCUACAUUGUUAUUCAUUUUCUUGAGAGACGCCUGAUAGAGAUGAACCAUAUAUUUUGGCAUACGACAGGUACGUGACCGGUGCCCCUUUCCUCCACACCGAUAGUAUUUAUUUUUUGAAAUUUUCCUUUGCGCUGCUUCAGUAUUUUCACCUUCUUUUUACACUGCUGGUGUUGAGGGUCAUUAUUUAAUGCAAGACGAUCACCUGAUUAAAAUUUCUUCCUCGACCAUGACCACGAUUGGGUCCAGGACCAUUUUCAUGUCUGGAUUGGUGAAAAUUUGCAGCAUUUAUUUCAGAAAAUUGAGUAGUACCAGUAGGUCAACCUUUAUGAUUUUUCAUCAAAAAAUCAUUGUGUUGUUCAGCAACGAGAAGAUGCGAAAUCAGUUCAGAAUACUCUUUGAAUCUUAUGUAUAGAUAUUGCUAUUGCAGGAGCAUACUCGAGGCAGGAAAGGUGGAGAAUGUUUUCUCUAGCAUAUUGUGAU